GUGACCUGCGGAGGAUCAUUAUUGA
RNAcentral lists this ribosomal RNA (25 nucleotides) under Oudemansiella venosolamellata. Its description in RNAcentral is "partial 18S ribosomal RNA". Lineage: Eukaryota; Fungi; Basidiomycota; Agaricomycetes; Agaricales; Physalacriaceae. The record is from RNAcentral.